Molecule: long non-coding RNA, 321 nt
Organism: Entelurus aequoreus (snake pipefish)
Lineage: Eukaryota; Metazoa; Chordata; Actinopteri; Syngnathiformes; Syngnathidae
Exons: 4
Source: RefSeq, a predicted model, not a curated record
AGCUCCACCGUCUCGCCGAGUGCCAGCAAGAGUCAUGAGUACUGUCAACUCGACUCCUCAACUGGAGAUAACUUUCUAGCACCUCACCAUGGGGAAGGAUGUAUUCAUAUGCCUUCACCAGCACCUGCAUUAAACAUGCAGAGAGUUACACAAGUUCUUACCACCUUGGGGCACCAUUCAGGGUGCCUUUUCAUCUGAUUAAAUUUAUAAUGAACAGGGACAUUGCGGUUGUCCAAAGUGGAUGGUAUGAUGAUAGGAUGGUUUUCUGGCCCAGCUAUAAAAACACCGACAGAAUUGAAAGGGCCGCUUUAAAUGAGGAGC